RNAcentral lists this ribosomal RNA (1010 nucleotides) under Sclerocleista thaxteri. Its description in RNAcentral is "SSU rRNA". It matches the Rfam family "Eukaryotic small subunit ribosomal RNA", at positions 85 to 1104 of the family's 1831-position model. The record is from RNAcentral. Lineage: Eukaryota; Fungi; Ascomycota; Eurotiomycetes; Eurotiales; Aspergillaceae.
AACUGCGAAUGGCUCAUUAAAUCAGUUAUCGUUUAUUUGAUAGUACCUUACUACAUGGAUACCUGUGGUAAUUCUAGAGCUAAUACAUGCUAAAAACCUCGACUUCGGAAGGGGUGUAUUUAUUAGAUAAAAAACCAACGCCCUUCGGGGCUCCUUGGUGAUUCAUAAUAACUUAACGAAUCGCAUGGCCUUGCGCCGGCGAUGGUUCAUUCAAAUUUCUGCCCUAUCAACUUUCGAUGGUAGGAUAGUGGCCUACCAUGGUGGCAACGGGUAACGGGGAAUUAGGGUUCGAUUCCGGAGAGGGAGCCUGAGAAACGGCUACCACAUCCAAGGAAGGCAGCAGGCGCGCAAAUUACCCAAUCCCGAUACGGGGAGGUAGUGACAAUAAAUACUGAUACGGGGCUCUUUUGGGUCUCGUAAUUGGAAUGAGUACAAUCUAAAUCCCUUAACGAGGAACAAUUGGAGGGCAAGUCUGGUGCCAGCAGCCGCGGUAAUUCCAGCUCCAAUAGCGUAUAUUAAAGUUGUUGCAGUUAAAAAGCUCGUAGUUGAACCUUGGGUCUGGCUGGCCGGUCCGCCUCACCGCGAGUACUGGUCCGGCUGGACCUUUCCUUCUGGGGAACCUCAUGGCCUUCACUGGCUGUGGGGGGAACCAGGACUUUUACUGUGAAAAAAUUAGAGUGUUCAAAGCAGGCCUUUGCUCGAAUACAUUAGCAUGGAAUAAUAGAAUAGGACGUGCGGUUCUAUUUUGUUGGUUUCUAGGACCGCCGUAAUGAUUAAUAGGGAUAGUCGGGGGCGUCAGUAUUCAGCUGUCAGAGGUGAAAUUCUUGGAUUUGCUGAAGACUAACUACUGCGAAAGCAUUCGCCAAGGAUGUUUUCAUUAAUCAGGGAACGAAAGUUAGGGGAUCGAAGACGAUCAGAUACCGUCGUAGUCUUAACCAUAAACUAUGCCGACUAGGGAUCGGACGGUGUUUCUAUAAUGACCCGUUCGGCACCUUACGAGAAAUCAAAGU